AGUGAACGCUGGCGGUAGGCCUAACACAUGCAAGUCGAACGGCAGCACAGUAAGAGCUUGCUCUUACGGGUGGCGAGUGGCGGACGGGUGAGGAAUACAUCGGAAUCUACUUUUACGUGGGGGAUAACGUAGGGAAACUUACGCUAAUACCGCAUACGAUCUACGGGUGAAAGCAGGGGAUCUUCGGACCUUGCGCGAUUGAUUGAGCCGAUGUCGGAUUAGCUAGUUGGCGGGGUAAAGGCUCACCAAGGCAACGAUCCGUAGCUGGUCUGAGAGGAUGAUCAGCCACACUGGAACUGAGACACGGUCCAGACUCCUACGGGAGGCAGCAGUGGGGAAUAUUGGACAAUGGGCGCAAGCCUGAUCCAGCCAUACCGCGUGGGUGAAGAAGGUCUUCGGGUUGUAAAGCCCUUUUGUUGGGAAAGAAAAGCAGCAGGUUAAUCUACCGCUGUUCUGACGGUACCCAAAGAAUAAGCACCGGCUAACUUCGUG
This 492-nucleotide ribosomal RNA is filed under the name uncultured bacterium. RNAcentral describes it as "partial 16S ribosomal RNA". It matches the Rfam family "Bacterial small subunit ribosomal RNA", at positions 29 to 507 of the family's 1533-position model. The record is from RNAcentral.